Molecule: ribosomal RNA, 540 nt
Filed under: Bactrocera bryoniae
Lineage: Eukaryota; Metazoa; Arthropoda; Insecta; Diptera; Tephritidae
Description: partial 16S ribosomal RNA
Rfam family: Bacterial large subunit ribosomal RNA
Source: RNAcentral
UUAACAAAAACAUGUCUUUUUGAGUUAUUUUUAAAGUCUGACCUGCCCACUGAAAUUAUUUAAAUGGCCGCAGUAUUCUAACUGUGCAAAGGUAGCAUAAUCAUUAGUCUUUUAAUUGAAGGCUGGUAUGAACGGUUGGACGAGGUAUAAGCUGUUUCAUAUAAAUUUAUAGUAGAAUUUUAUAUUUUAGUCAAAAAGCUAAAAUUUAAUUAAAAGACGAGAAGACCCUAUAAAUCUUUAUAUUUUAUAUUAUUUAAAUUUUUUGGAUUUGGUUUAUUUUUAUAUUAUAAAAUAUUUUGUUGGGGUGAUAUUAAAAUUUAAUGAACUUUUAGUUAUUUAAAAUCAUUAAUUUAUGAGUUAUUGAUCCAUUAGUAGUGAUUAUAAGAUUAAGUUACUUUAGGGAUAACAGCGUAAUUUUUUUGGAGAGUUCAUAUCGAUAAAAAAGUUUGCGACCUCGAUGUUGGAUUAAGAUAUAUUUUAGGUGUAGCCGCUUAAAUGUUAAGUCUGUUCGACUUUUAAAUUCUUACGUGAUCUGAGUUC